This 707-nucleotide ribosomal RNA is filed under the name uncultured bacterium. RNAcentral's name for it is "bacterial SSU rRNA". It matches the Rfam family "Bacterial small subunit ribosomal RNA", at positions 59 to 742 of the family's 1533-position model. The record is from RNAcentral.
CAGUCGAACGAGAAAGUCGGCUUCGGCCGAUGAGUACAGUGGCGCACGGGUGAGUAACGCGUGGGUAAUCUGCCCCCCGGUCAGGAAUAACCCGCCGAAAGGCGGGCUAAUACCCGAUAACACUGACGCUCUGCGGAGUGUCUUUCAAAGAAGGCCUCUGUUUACAAGCUUUCGCCGGAGGAUGAGCCCGCGUACCAUUAGCUAGUUGGCAGGGUAAUGGCCUACCAAGGCAACGAUGGUUAGCUGGUCUGAGAGGAUGGCCAGCCACACUGGAACUGAGACACGGUCCAGACUCCUACGGGAGGCAGCAGUGAGGAAUCUUGCGCAAUGGGGGAAACCCUGACGCAGCAACGCCGCGUGAGUGAGGAAGGCCUUCGGGUCGUAAAGCUCUGUCAGAUGGGAAGAAAUGGGUGGGGGUGAAUAUCGUCCACCCUUGACGGUACCAUCAGAGGAAGCACCGGCUAACUCCGUGCCAGCAGCCGCGGUAAUACGGGGGGUGCAAGCGUUGUUCGGAAUCAUUGGGCGUAAAGCGCGCGCAGGCGGCUUGGUAAGUCAGAUGUGAAAGCCCUGGGCUUAACCCAGGAAGUGCAUUUGAUACUGCCUCGCUAGAGUACGGGAGAGGAAAGUGGAAUUCCUGGUGUAGAGGUGAAAUUCGUAGAUAUCAGGAGGAACACCGGUGGCGAAGGCGACUUUCUGGCCCGAUACUG